CGGCGGACGGGUGAGUAACACGUGGGUAACCUGCCUGUAAGACUGGGAUAACUCCGGGAAACCGGGGCUAAUACCGGAUGGUUGUUUGAACCGCAUGGUUCAGACAUAAAAGGUGGCUUCGGCUACCACUUACAGAUGGACCCGCGGCGCAUUAGCUAGUUGGUGAGGUAACGGCUCACCAAGGCGACGAUGCGUAGCCGACCUGAGAGGGUGAUCGGCCACACUGGGACUGAGACACGGCCCAGACUCCUACGGGAGGCAGCAGUAGGGAAUCUUCCGCAAUGGACGAAAGUCUGACGGAGCAACGCCGCGUGAGUGAUGAAGGUUUUCGGAUCGUAAAGCUCUGUUGUUAGGGAAGAACAAGUGCCGUUCAAAUAGGGCGGCACCUUGACGGUACCUAACCAGAAAGCCACGGCUAACUACGUGCCAGCAGCCGCGGUAAUACGUAGGUGGCAAGCGUUGUCCGGAAUUAUUGGGCGUAAAGGGCUCGCAGGCGGUUUCUUAAGUCUGAUGUGAAAGCCCCCGGCUCAACCGGGGAGGGUCAUUGGAAACUGGGGAACUUGAGUGCAGAAGAGGAGAGUGGAAUUCCACGUGUAGCGGUGAAAUGCGUAGAGAUGUGGAGGAACACCAGUGGCGAAGGCGACUCUCUGGUCUGUAACUGACGCUGAGGAGCGAAAGCGUGGGGAGCGAACAGGAUUAGAUACCCUGGUAGUCCACGCCGUAAACGAUGAGUGCUAAGUGUUAGGGGGUUUCCGCCCCUUAGUGCUGCAGCUAACGCAUUAAGCACUCCGCCUGGGGAGUACGGUCGCAAGACUGAAACUCAAAGGAAUUGACGGGGGCCCGCACAAGCGGUGGA
RNAcentral lists this ribosomal RNA (856 nucleotides) under Bacillus velezensis. RNAcentral describes it as "bacterial SSU rRNA". It matches the Rfam family "Bacterial small subunit ribosomal RNA", at positions 96 to 936 of the family's 1533-position model. The record is from RNAcentral. Lineage: Bacteria; Bacillati; Bacillota; Bacilli; Caryophanales; Bacillaceae.